RNAcentral lists this ribosomal RNA (511 nucleotides) under Tenodera sinensis (Chinese praying mantis). RNAcentral describes it as "partial large subunit ribosomal RNA". It matches the Rfam family "Bacterial large subunit ribosomal RNA", at positions 1888 to 2597 of the family's 2925-position model. Lineage: Eukaryota; Metazoa; Arthropoda; Insecta; Mantodea; Mantidae. The record is from RNAcentral.
GGUUUCUUGUAAUUAUUUAGGAGAUCUGACCUGCCCACUGAAAAUAUUUUGAAGGGCCGCAGUAUUUUGACUGUGCAAAGGUAGCAUAAUCAUUAGUCUUUUAAUUGAAGGCUGGUAUGAAUGGUUGGAUGAGGUAAAUUCUGUUUUAUGUUAAUUGAUGUUGAAUUUAGAUUUUAAGUAAAAAUACUUAAAUGUUAUUAAGGGACGAGAAGACCCUAUAGAGUUUAAUAAAUAUAAUAAUUAAUUGAGUUAAAGUUUAAUUUUUGGUUUUUAUGUAAUUUAUUUAAUUGGGGUGAUUGGAAGAUAAAAUAAACUCUUCUUUAUAUUUAAUAAAUUAAUUAGUUAUAUGAUCCAUAUUUAAUGAUUAAAAGAUUAAAUUACCUUAGGGAUAACAGCAUAAUUCUUUUUAAGAGUUCAUAUCGAAAAAAGAGAUUGUGACCUCGAUGUUGGAUUAAGAUUAGUUAUGGGUGCAGAUGUUCAAUAACUAGGUCUGUUCGACCUUGAAAAUCUU